GCGUGCCUAAUACAUGCAAGUCGAACGCUUUUUCUUUCACCGGAGCUUGCUCCACCGAAAGAAAAAGAGUGGCGAACGGGUGAGUAACACGUGGGUAACCUGCCCAUCAGAAGGGGAUAACACUUGGAAACAGGUGCUAAUACCGUAUAACACUAUUUUCCGCAUGGAAGAAAGUUGAAAGGCGCUUUUGCGUCACUGAUGGAUGGACCCGCGGUGCAUUAGCUAGUUGGUGAGGUAACGGCUCACCAAGGCAACGAUGCAUAGCCGACCUGAGAGGGUGAUCGGCCACACUGGGACUGAGACACGGCCCAGACUCCUACGGGAGGCAGCAGUAGGGAAUCUUCGGCAAUGGACGAAAGUCUGACCGAGCAACGCCGCGUGAGUGAAGAAGGUUUUCGGAUCGUAAAACUCUGUUGUUAGAGAAGAACAAGGAUGAGAGUAAAAUGUUCAUCCCUUGACGGUAUCUAACCAGAAAGCCACGGCUAACUACGUGCCAGCAGCCGCGGUAAUACGUAGGUGGCAAGCGUUGUCCGGAUUUAUUGGGCGUAAAGCGAGCGCAGGCGGUUUCUUAAGUCUGAUGUGAAAGCCCCCGGCUCAACCGGGGAGGGUCAUUGGAAACUGGGAGACUUGAGUGCAGAAGAGGAGAGUGGAAUUCCAUGUGUAGCGGUGAAAUGCGUAGAUAUAUGGAGGAACACCAGUGGCGAAGGCGGCUCUCUGGUCUGUAACUGACGCUGAGGCUCGAAAGCGUGGGGAGCG
Molecule: ribosomal RNA, 756 nt
Filed under: Enterococcus casseliflavus
Lineage: Bacteria; Bacillati; Bacillota; Bacilli; Lactobacillales; Enterococcaceae
Description: bacterial SSU rRNA
Rfam family: Bacterial small subunit ribosomal RNA
Source: RNAcentral